Long non-coding RNA from Strongylocentrotus purpuratus (purple sea urchin), 1125 nucleotides. RefSeq lists it as uncharacterized. The transcript is spliced from 2 exons. The record is from RefSeq and is a predicted model, not a curated record. Lineage: Eukaryota; Metazoa; Echinodermata; Echinoidea; Camarodonta; Strongylocentrotidae.
ACCUUUCUAAACCUACUUUUCAUAAAUUCAUGCCAAGCCCGCGCCGAUGGUUUGUUGUGUUGUGUCUUGAGAAGUUGAGUGUUUGUGUGUCUCACCGUCACUGAGUUCGACGAGCACAAGUCUGAGCUGAAUGAGAGGUACUUUGUCUUUAGGCCCAUCUAGAUCUAGAUCUAGACUAGACUCUAGUACUGACUGUCGAAUGUCUCUACACUCGACUCCUACAAAUUUAUACUAGGCAUCAUGAUCAUGUCUAGGCCUAGAGUCUACAUCAAUACAUUGUUGUACUUGAAUUUUGAAGCAAGUUUAAAAUCUGUGCAAGCAAAUAGCCAAUAAAUCAAUGUGUGUUCUUCCUAAUCUACAUGUAGGGUCUAAUCUUAGUCAAAUUCAACCUUUCACAUGGGACAUCUAAUGCUAAUUUACAUGUACAUGUAUCUAAUUUCACAUUUUAUCAAGCAUGAGUAGAUUUUUAACAAAACAUGACAGGAAUUGGCCCCUACGUUCUUAUGGAGGUUCAGUGACAUCAUCUUUCCUAAUUACCCAAUAGGGUCUAGAUCUAGUAUGAAUCAACAAUAGCACUCGUUUCUUUAAUGCAAUCAAAGUAUCGUUAAUAUUUUUUUUAGAGUUUGCAAAAGCUAUUCAAAAUCAGAUUGUCUACAAUACAAAGAAUGCAAAACAUGUAAUAUCAUAGGAUUUAUUUGAUAAACAAUGAAUGAUAUUUUUUCAUUUCAUGUUCUAAUUUUAAUUCACUUUUUUCUAUUUCGUUGUGACAGAGACAGCAUGGCUGAAUAUAUGCACCAUCUCCGCCAGCUUGAUCGGAACAGAGAGUUGAUAGGCAGACCUCAGAGAGGCCUUCGUGACCCAUGAACCCUUUUGAAGUGUAUGAUGAGUCCUUUCGGACCAGGUACUGGUUUUCCAAAGAGACAGCGCUCUACCUCAUCAACUUGGUGGAUGAAGAGCUGAGGAGGACGACAGACAGAAACGACCCAAUACCUAGAUCUAUACAGGUAGUGACAGCACUACGAUUCUAUGCUGUUGGGUCAUUCCAAAAGAUGCAUGGUGAUGAGGCACAACUUUCACAGUCUUCUGUAUGCAGAGUCAUCAAAGACGUGUCAGAAGCGUUUGCAA